UGGUAGUGUAUUGGACAACCAUGGCAGUCACGGGUAACGGAGAAUUAGGGUUCGAUUCCGGAGAGGGAGCCUGAGAAACGGCUACCACAUCUACGGAAGGCAGCAGGCGCGCAAAUUGCCCAAUCCCGACACGGGGAGGCAGUGACAAGAAAUAACAACUCUAGGUUUUCUUAGAAGUGUAAUGAGGAUAAUUUACAAACCUUACUGAAUGCAAUUGGAGGGCAAGUCUGGUGCCAGCAGCCGCGGUAAUUCCAGCUCCAAUAGCGUAUAUUAAAGUUGUUGCAGUUAAAAAGCUCGUAGUUGAAAAUCUGAUUGUUCAGGUUCUCAGCCAUUAGGCGAGGGCUCUGGCAGUCAUCCGCUUGCAAACAUAUGUUCGACCUUAACCAGUUGGCUAUGUGAGUAAGCAUUUUACCUUGAGAAAAACAGAGUGUUCCAGGCAGGUUUGUCCGGAAUGCAUUAGCAUGGAAUAAUAGAACAUGACUGAAGUCUAUUUAUUGGUUAAAGGCUUUAGUAAUGAUUAAUAGGAACAGUCGGGGGCAUUCGUACUCAGCAGUCAGAGGUGAAAUUCUAAGAUUUGCUGAAGACGAACUAAUGCGAAAGCAUUUGCCAAGGAUGUUUUCAUUAAUCAAGAACGAAAGUUAGGGGAUCAAAGACGAUCAGA
Molecule: ribosomal RNA, 661 nt
Filed under: uncultured ciliate
Lineage: Eukaryota; Ciliophora
Description: SSU rRNA
Rfam family: Eukaryotic small subunit ribosomal RNA
Source: RNAcentral